Non-coding RNA from Equus caballus (horse), 665 nucleotides. NCBI's taxonomy places the organism in Eukaryota, Metazoa, Chordata, Mammalia, Perissodactyla, Equidae. The record is from RefSeq and is a predicted model, not a curated record.
UUCCGCUCGCGGAGCUUCAGUUGGCGCACACCGGCGCGCGGCUCUGGUUGUCAUGGCAACGGGCCGUCUCGGUCGCGGGUGCGCCUGCCCGGCCCUGCACGCCCUCGUCGUCGUCUCUAGAGCUGCUGAGGAAGAGGUCUUUCUGGCGGCUUCGGCGCCGGAGAGGUUUGUGUUUUACGUGGAAGACCUCUCCGAAGGGACUCGGACUCGUAGCCUUUAAAAGACCACACCAGGGGAGCUUGAGCCUGGUGGGAUUAGCAGUAUUCGCUUGGGUUAUAAACCGUGACUUUCUCUAAUUAAAGAAACUGCACCAACUCACAGAAAACAUUUCCUCCUGGAUUUUGCAUCAGUUUUGCUGCCUGAUGGCCUGCUUCCCAGGUUCCACUGCUGCCUGCCUCCCAGGACCUCUUCCUCGGGGGUUCUUCCUCUCCACCAGCUACCAAACCCCAGCUUUGAACUUCCUGCCCACAGGGUGAUUGAUCCACCUGCAAAAAUGUCCUACAUUCUGUGCACCUUUUAGAAGUGGAAGUGCCUGGAUAUUAUUGACUUUUGGGGUUCUCCUUUUCAUAAACUGCUGUUAUUAUCACAUUCAGAAAUUAAUCAGAGUUCUCAUAAAACAUCUGUUUUAAAUAGGAAGUCCAAUAAACUUCCUCUGUUGACUUGGA